Long non-coding RNA from Heterocephalus glaber (naked mole-rat), 3555 nucleotides. The record is from Ensembl. Lineage: Eukaryota; Metazoa; Chordata; Mammalia; Rodentia; Bathyergidae.
GUUAGAGUGAGAUUUGGUUAUAGUCUUAAUCUAUGAUGACCAGAUAGAUACAUGAUAUAUGAUUGAGAAAGGAGAUGUAGUUAUUUCCUGCUGCUGCUGUAAUGAAGAACCACAAACAGGGGUUUUGAUGAGCACAGUUCAGUAGAUCACAAGUCCAACAUAGGUCUCAGUAAACUAAAACCAAGCAUGCAUUUCCUUUCUGGGGGCUGAAGGGAAUCCAUCUUCUUGCUUCCUCCAGUGUCCAGAGGCUGCUUCUUUUCCUUGGCCAGUGGCCCCUUCCUCCAUCUUCAUAACCAGAUCAGGUCCUUUUCAUGCUGCCACCUCUCUUGUUCUGUCUUCAUAAUCACAUUUUCUUCCUUUCCCUUGCUAUCUGGAACCUGAAAGUUCUGGGAUUAUACCAUUCUCUUCCAAAACUGGUCUGCCUUUCAGCUAGGGAGUUAUGAAUGAGGAUAUAGUAAGAAUGAUCAGACAGGAAAGAUAGCAAGCAUAUCGCCAGGAGUCAGAAGCACAGAUGAUAUAGAAAAGAAAAGCAGAAAAAAGAUGGAGAAUCAAGAAGUAUGUCUUAGGGCUGUGGCUGUAGUUCAGUGACAGAGUCCUUGUGUGACAUGUGCGAGGCUCUGGCCUCCUUUAAAAAGUGUAUCUGAGUCUCAUUUUUUUAUUUUUGGGGUACCGGGGAUCAAACUCGGGACCUUGCGCUUGCAAGGCAGGCACCAGAACCACUGAGCUAAAUCCCCGGCCUGAGUCUGAAUUGUUUAAUAGGAAGUAUUUUUAGUAAAAUUAUGCUUGUCAAAUAAAUAAAAUUUAAAUGCUUUUAGAAAAAAAUACAUGGUUUUUAUUAUUCAAAGGAAGUAAUUUAUGAUACAAUCAUAAAGACAUUGAAAAAAUAACUAAUAACCUAGGCAGUACUGAAACAGUGGCAUUGCAAAGACUUUCUAGGAAAAUCUGGAUUCUGUUAAACUUGUAGAAAUUUUGUUUCCCAUAUUUAUUUUCUACCUCUCUACUGUACUCUAUUACAACCAUAGGAGAAAAGAAAAAAUUUAUCUGUAUCAAACAGAAACAUGAUUCUGGCACCUAAAUGAAUUUCCAUGAAAAAAUAGAGCAAAAUGGACAGAAAGAAGGGGCAGGCAUAUUUUAUUACAUUUAUUAUUGUCUUUUUUUUGGUACCGGGGAUUGAACUCGGGACCUACUGCUUACUAGGCAGGCGGCCGUACCACUGAGCUAAAUCCCCAGCCCUUAUUGUCCUUUUUUGUAGAUUCUCCUGAUUUAUUUUAAAAUCCUGGUUAUAUAGUACUAGAAUUUAUAUUUAUAGCUAAAUAAGUAUAUCCCUUAGGCCCAAGUUCGUAUAAAAAAUAAAGGUGUUCUUGUUUCAAGAGAUAUUUUAAGGGCUGUGUAUCAGUCAGUAUUUACUAGAGAAACAGAUAUAAUACAAGAUAGAUAGAUAUAUAUGAGAAUUUACGAGAUUGCCUUACAAUGGCCACCCUCCAGAGGGUCUGUCUGCACACUGGAGACCAAAGGAGUCGGUCAAAGUUCCGGAGCUCACUACGGUGUCCUGUGGGCGUCUGUAUCAGGAGGCUGAUGAGUCUGAGAUGGAAGGCUGAAGAGUCUGUGCUGGAAGGCAAAGACUGGAGCUCCUCCAAAGGAACUGGAGGAACUGGAGCAUCCUUCCUCAUUUCGCCUUUAUACCAGUCAGAUGAGGAGCAGCCCUAAGGUGGAUCUCCCAUGACCUAAGAUGUGGAAUUCCUGAGCCAAUUUAGCUAAGAUUCCCUUAGCCAAACUUCUCAAGUUGACAUAAUCGCACAACCAUCACAGGCUGAGAAUAGAGCUUAAUGAUACAAUGCUUGUCUAGCAUUUGCAAGGCCAUGGGUUUGAACCCUGAUGCCAUACACACAAAAAAGAUAUUUUUAAAUCUUCAUAUUCUGGAUUGGUUUAAUAGUCUUAGGCGCCCUCACCCCAGUCUUUGUACUCAAAUAUAAUUGCCAGCUCUUUCCCUUUUUUACUUCCUAUAUACCAUAGGAGCUUAACAGCACACCUGUCCUUAUAGGAUAUUAUUCUCAUUUCUUCAUUGUUCUUUAAUUUCAUUUUUGCCUUUCUUUCUUAGCCAUAUAUAAUCUCAUACUUUGAUGAAUAAUUCCUUCAGCUCAAUGGAUAAGAGAAACCAGGCAAAACUUCACCCUCAAAAGAUGAGGAAGCUGAAGCAGGAGGAGCAGUGAACAUCCCGGGAUACUUCUCUCCCCAGCAACCAUAGUGACAUUUUAAAAUCGUAAGUAAUAUCAUGUCAUAGCUUUCUCUCCACCGAUAAUUCCCCACUAACAUCCGUAUCACAAUAAAAGUCAAACUGUCUGCCCUGGUGUACAAAGCCCCUACAUCAUCUGGGUCCUCUCUAUUUCUCCAAUAUCAGUUUCUUUUGGUCUUCCCUUUUUACACCCCAACCGCACUGGUUUCCUUUUUUUUCCCUAACACACCAAGCAUGAUUGAGCCUCUGUUUAUGCUGUUUCUGGGCUGAAAACUCUCCCUCCUCAUCUUUGCGUGGUUGGAUCCUUUUUUAACAUCCAUGCCUCACCCUAAUUCACUCUUCAGAGAGGCCGGACAGAAACUUAAUCUAGUCGCCAUCUGUCGUGUCACUCUCCUUCAAUUCUCUGUGCCUUUGUUUUACUAGCUCACAUUGUGUUAUGUUUUACUCUUUGGUCUGCAUGGAUGUGUACACACACAGCUACACUCUAAGCUCUGUGAGAACAGGGACCUUGUUGGUCUUAUUCAACCACAAUAACUUUCAUGCUUGGAACAGUGCUGAUAGUAGGUGCUCAGCAACAUUUUGAAAAAUGAAUAAGCCAUUUUAAGCAAAAGGAUCUGAUAAAUGGAAAUUGAUGACAUUUUUUGUGAGGUCACAUUUUUGUGAGGUUUUAUCUAAUCUGACUAAAUUCCUAGAACUAAUGAAGAAAAUAAAAUUGAAACCUCUUUUUUUUUCUACAUUUGUGAUCCUUCAGAAGAGACACAAUGCCACCUCACCCCAGUAAGAAUGGCUGCUAUCAUGAAAUCAACCAAUAACAAAUGCUGAUGGGGCUGUGGGGAAAGAGGAAGCCUGCUCCACUGCCGGUGGGAGUGUAGACUGGUGCAACCACUGUGGAAAUCAGUAUGGAGAUACCUCAAAGAACUAGGACUGGAAGUCUCAUUUGACUCAGCUAUUCCCCUGCUGGGGAUCUUCCCCAAAGAAUUAAAAGAAUCAUACCACAGUGAUCUAUGUGCACCUAUGUUCAUAGCAGCACAAUUUGUGGUAGCUAACACUUGGAAGCAACCCAAAUGCCCAUCAACUGGAGACUGGAUAAAGAAAAUGUGGGUUUUUUUAUAAAAUAGAGUAUUACUCAGCCAUAAAGAACGAGAAACUAGAGACAUUUAUAGUCAAAUGGAUGUACAUUGAGGCGAUACUCUUAAGUGAAAUAAAUAGGUCACACAUAUGUAAAUACCGAAUAGUGUCUCUAGUGUGAGAAACUGAAAGUGUAAAUAAGGACUAAAAUGUGUAAUAGAUAAUAUGAAAUAGUAAGAAAAGUGCAAGGGGGA